GAUGAAGAACGCAGCGAAAUGCGAAAAGUAAUGUGAAUUGCAGAAUUCAGUGAACCAUCGAAUCUUUGAACGCACAUUGCGCCCGCUGGAACUCCGGCGGGCACGCCUGUCUGAGCGUCAUUUCAACCCUCAGGCCCCCCUUCGCGGGCGGGCCUGGUGUUGGGGCCCGGCCGCUACCCUGCGGCCGUCCCCUAAAUUCAGUGGUGGCCUCGCCGUGAUCCCUUGCGUAGUAAUGCACCUCGCACCGGAGAGCGCCGUGGCCACGCCGUAAAACCCCCAAUUUUCAAUGGUUGACCUCGGAUCAGGUGGGAAUACCCGCUGAACUUAAGCAUAUCAAUAAGCGGAGGA
RNAcentral lists this unclassified non-coding RNA (348 nucleotides) under soil metagenome. RNAcentral's name for it is "partial contains 5.8S ribosomal RNA, internal transcribed spacer 2, and large subunit ribosomal RNA". The stretch from base 1 to 120 matches the Rfam family "5.8S ribosomal RNA", at positions 35 to 154 of the family's 154-position model. The record is from RNAcentral.